AGCCUCGCCUCGGCUUUCCGCUACGCGCUUCUUCGCGGGCUGAGGGGGCUCUGCAAGGUGGGGAGUGAGCGUUGAAGAGGAAGGAAACUUCUCGGCAGGAAGAGCACGCAGGGGCCAGCAGGCGCUAGCUUUCCGGUGCCGAGCAAGACCUUAGUUAGAAGUGGAGUGCCUAUAAAGUGAACUGAAAUAAGUCUUGACCUCUUCAUUCCAUGGAUCCUUUGGGUGCUCCUUCCCAUUUUGUGGAUAUCGAUACAUUGCCAGGAUGGGCUGAUCUUUAUGAGGCAGACCAAUUGAAAACCAGUCCAGUUCCAUUUGAAAACAAGCAAGUUGAUAUUCGAUCUCCCUUCCCAUACAGGAAAGACAUCAAUGCAAAAGUAAUAUUUUGGAAGGGGGAUGUAGCAUUGCUGAACUGCACAGCCAUAGUGAACACAAGCAAUGAAUCCCUCACGGAUAAAAAUCCUGUGUCUGAAAGUGUUUAUAUGCAUGCAGGACCUGACCUGAGGGCUGAGCUGCAGAAACUCAAAGGCUGUCGGACUGGGGAGGCAAAGCUGACAAAGGGAUAUAAUCUCGCUGCCCGUUUCAUCAUACACACUGUGGGACCCAAGUACAAAAGUCGAUACCGAACAGCAGCCGAGAGCUCAUUGUAUAGCUGCUAUCGUAACAUCCUUCAGCUAGCACGGGAGCAAGCAAUGUCCUCCAUUGGAUUCUGUGUGAUAAACACUGUGAAACGAGGUUACCCUUUAGUGGAUGCCACCCACAUAGCACUGCGAACAGUCAGGCGAUUUUUGGAGGUUCAUGGGGAAACUCUUGAAAAAGUGGUGUUUGCAGUGUCUGAGCUUGAAGAGGGUACUUACCAGAAGAUGUUGCCCCUGUAUUUCCCACGAUCGCUGGAAGAGGAGACUCGGUCCUUGCCUUUGCUCCCGGCAGAUAUUGGCAAUGCAGAAGGGGAGCCAGUGGUGCCAGAACGGCAGAUCCGAAUUAGCGAGAAGCCUGGUGUUUUGGAGGACAAUUCUGAUGAGGAGGGGCUAGAAGCAGACCUCUCGUUUAUUGGCUCUCAUGCUUUUGCCCGAAUGGAGGGAGAUGUUGAUAAACAGCGGCGUCUCAUCCUUCAAGGGCAACUCUCAGAGGCAGCACUGCAGAAGCAACAUCAGAGAAAUUACAACCGCUGGCUUUGUCGGGCGAGAGCUGAAGACCUGUCUGAUAUCGCUUCCCUUAAAGCUUUGUACCAAACAGGCGUUGAUAAUUGUGGUCGUACCGUGAUAGCAGUAGUUGGAAGGAAUAUUCCUGUAACUCUUAUAGAUAUGGAGAAGGCUCUCUUGUAUUUUAUCCACGUGAUGGACCACAUUGUAGCAAAGGAAUAUGUCAUUGUAUAUUUCCAUACGCUCACUAAUGUCUACAAUCACUUAGAUUCAGAUUUCUUGAAGAAGCUUUCUGACAUUGUUGAUGUCAAGUACAAAAGAAAUUUGAAGGCUCUUUACUUUGUCCAUCCAACAUUUCGCUCCAAGGUUUCAACAUGGUUUUUCACAACCUUUACUGUUUCUGGUCUAAAGGACAAAGUCCACCAUGUGGAAAGCCUCCAGCAGCUGUUUACAGCCAUUCCCCCUGAACAGAUUGACUUUCCCCCAUUUGUUCUCGAAUAUGAUUCUAGGGUAGGUUGCUAGUGACUGAAUAGAGUGACUAGUAGACUAAAUGAAGUCUGGUCUUCCUCAUGCUUGAAGAGAUAUCUGAGGGGAUUGCUUUCGAAACAGCCAGUGCCUUGAAGCUACUUUAGACAGGCUGUGUAAAGGGGUUAGAUGCAGAAGAGACAGAAAGAAGCCUUGGCUGCAUUGUUUUGAUAAAGCUGCAACACUUAAAAAUACACUUUGUCAUGAUCCGUAUUGCACAAUUUUCCAAGCAUGCAGAAGUAGCAAUUUUAUGGCAUAUUUGGAGUAGAGAGCAAUACCCAUGGUGAUGCUAAUAUUACGAUCUGGAGAAGCUGAUUGUGCAGUGCUUCAGUCAGCUUCAGUUAACUCCUUGUAUUCAGUGAACACACACGGAGAAAAAGAAUAUCUUGUGAUUAACUGUGAAGAGUUACUUUAUUUUUAACUGUGUCAUUUAAUACACAUCUUCAUUGUAUAUUUUUUCACACUAUAUCUCAGUCAAUUACUAAUUGCCUAUAUUGUGGCAUGACAAUAUAUAGCAUUUCUGUAGCAUUUUCCUAUUUAUAAUAUGCCUAACACAUAAUAGGGUUGCACCUUCUCCUGUACAUUAAUAUUCCUAAACAUAACAAAAAUAAAUGACUAUUCAAUAAGCUUUUGUUCCCCUGUCUACCCCCUGCUAAUUCUAAUAACUUUUGUGAAUUUCAGUACAAACACAACUUCUAAGACUCUCAUCAUCCAUUCUUUUGCAUACAGGGUAUCUUCCUGAUUCCAUUUAUAACUGAUUGUAAUUCAUGCAGCCAUUUGUAAAUUAAUCAUAUGCACGAAAUUUAAUUAGUCCCAUUUUCUGAGCUAUUACUAUCAGUUUCAAGGUCUGAUUAUUCAUCCUUGUCUCCAUCUUAGUUAUCAGGGGCUUGUAUAAACUGAAGAUCUGCCCAGAUUGAAACAAGCUUCUAUACAUGUUCACACAUCAGUUUAUUUCUUGAUCUGGUGUGAGUAUUUCCAGACUUCAGCCAGUUUUUCCACAUGUUGCGGAAGAUGGGAGGAAUUUGAGGUAGGUGGGAAGCAAGAGGAGUCGGGGGCUGUGCUGUGAAAGGGCCGGCCACCAUGCUGCACGAGGGAUGCGCCUGGCAGAAUCCCAGACACCUUCCCUGGACCAAUCCCUGAUGGCCUCCUGAUGUUCUGACAAAAGUGCACUGCCUGAUUCAGAUACAAUGACUGCUGAAGAAAUGGGCUUUCGAAUCUCAGGGGUUCUACAGCUGAACCCAGAAGACAUCCUCUUCAAGGCAAUAUCGAUUAUGCUGCUGGGUAAAUUAAGAGUUUUAAGUAUUAUUUCUUGAAGAGCUGCUUCAUUUUUUAGUAAACUUCCACAGAGAUCAACACUCUACCCCAUCAAAUUCUACUACCGUGUUUCAGUGCCGCUAUUUCAUUCUUUACAUUCUUCCUCCUCCUCCUUGAAGACUGCAGCUAUAAUAGCUGUACGUUAAGCUACAAAGGCUUAUAACUGAAGUUGUUUGUCGAUAAAUUUUUAGAGGGUGUCCAGUUCGUGAUGCCAUUAGGAAGCAAAUUUAGCCUAUAACAUGGACAUCCUGUAGUAGUAGGUAGAUGCUUGUCUUCAAUUCUGCUUUCAUCUUGUGUUGUCAGCCAGCAAAGCAAAUACCUGAAUUCUCCCAAUUUUUUGUAGAACUUUAUAUAUUUUACAACUAAUAUAAAAUCAGCUAAUAUUGAUACCUCCCGUAUCAAUGCAUCUGUUUAAAAAAAAAACUUAGCUGAGGUAGUGUUAUCACAAACUUUGUGAUUCCUUCUCCCCUCACAUUUGUCCAUCUGUAAGCACUACAAGCUAUGGUGCUUUGUUGAUGUUUGCUUGCACUGAUUCUGUUUUGUGCUCGUAUUCCAACUCUAAAGGAGGCUUGCUGAAAUGAAAGAGUGCCUGGUGAGCAAACAGUAUGCUGAUCUUAGUAAUUUAAAAGCAUUUCACCUCUUACGCACGUUCAGUUCCACAAGACUGUAUUGCCCUUACAAGAGCUUGGCCCCCUUUUUUCCUGAUCUUCAGGUGUCCUCUUGUCCACAAAAUGAAGCUCCUUUGUAUUUUUUGUUGUUUUAAAUCACGAGAGCUUUUCCAGGUCUUCAUAUCUCUUGUGAGGCUCUUUGUGGGCCGUGGUGACUUCCCCUCCUGACCCUGGUGCUGCACUAAGUGGCUUGGUGGACACCGAUGAGUAAGGUCACUCUAGCGUGCCAACCCAGGUCUUGGUGUUGCCUGCUAGUUCGCCUCCCUUAUCCAUAAUCUAGUCAUGGAAGAGUGAGGUCUUACUAUGAGAAGAGCCGAUUCUUAAUGUCAGGCUAGCAUCCGGCUAGAGGAAACCAUGAUCUAUCAGCUGGAGAGAUCAGAAGGAGGGAAUAGGCUGUGGGGAAAGUCAGACCAAUGUAUGUGCCCCUUACAUUCUCUUGCCAGGACCACAUUUCCCUUGGCUCAUAACCGCUGCUCUAGGGACAACCCUCUCAACUGUUCACUCAAUCUACCUGCAUGCUUUCAGGUCUUCCAUGCUCACACGCACCGCUCCAGUAUUCAGCAGCCUAUCCAUUCACUUUAUGCAAUGCCAACAGCCUGCCAAUAAUCCUCCCUGCUAACAAAACAGCAGCCAAGCCAACAAAUGACUGGAGAUAUAUUUUUUUUCUGGGGAGGGUGGGUCACAGAGCCAGGGUGGGAACUCCCCGGAGCACAGCCUCACCCCAUCUCAUGGGUUCUGAUAUAAAGUAUAUCUCCUCCGAAAGUCUGUCGUCCUGUUUUCUUAGCAGAUUUCAAAAGAUCAGCACCUAGAAGUUGUGCCUUUUCCUUCAAAUAUUUGUAAACUAAGUACCUGGAUACCCUUCUCUGCAGUGCAAUUACUGGGUGUCUCAUGAUUUUUCAGCAGCCCCACCAGAUCCUUUUUUUCUGUAUGUGAGUUCAUAAAUAUAAAUUGCUCUCUGCUCUGAAAAGCACAGAUGUGUUAAGAACUUCUUUUGCUGUACUGGUGCAUUUAAAUAUAGACCGAGGAAGUAUUCCCUUUGAAAAAUAAGAGGCAUACUGACUUCCAAGCAAAGGGAGAUAAAUAGCUGGUGUUGACUUAAAAACAGUCUGCAAACCAACUACCCUUGGUGUCUUCCUGGUGUUCUCUGGCUGGAUUUCAUCUCUCCAGCUGGGGCAAGUUCUGUAAGUUCCGGGUGGCGAGCCUUGGGCAGCAGCAAUGCUCUUCCUCACAACUGGCUGGCUGGCUGGCUGGCUGGCUGGGAGCAGUGUGAGCGGUUUUGUUUUCCAGCUGCUUUUUCUGAAGGAACGGAGGCAGCUCCUUCAGCAAUGUUAGGCUCCCUGCAGACUGCCUUAAGCCUGAGUGCAGAAGAUCCAGCAUUAGUAGUCAGAGUAAUUAAGGCAAUUUUUGCAAGCAGCUGCUCAGGACUGCAGAUGCCAUUUGAAGAGACCACACAAGCUGCGCAGUAGUUUACUUCCCAGUUCUCCGGUCUGCACAAGGAAAAUGGGACAUGCUAUUCUUAUCCCUCUUCUCCAGACCUCUGAUUCUGCUGUUUCUGGUUUUCUGACACCUUGUGACAUACUGCUUGCCAAUAUCAUACAUGCCAAGCUGACCCAAUCUAUUUACAGAGAUCAGAGAAAGGGGUUUCCUCCUCACCUCUGUUAUUUUUUUACAAUGAGAUGUUUGCAAGGACACAAUCAGAAAACUAAAUCACAAUGAACUGUUUCAGAUCUAUCUAUCCAGUGGAAAAGUUGAUUUAUGGACAUGGAAAUAGAUUUUUUUCUGGAUAGCAUGAUUGCCCAAUCCCACCCCCAGUGAAUACCAUGUUCCCAAGAGAUUCAUGGACCAGGUUUUUGUCUUGAAAGAAAGGUACAGUAUCUGUUCGACAGUGUUUUAUGGUCUUUGCAUAUUGAAGCUGCUGUUAGUGCUGAUACAUUUGCAGAGUUCCAGUAGGGAUAUCUGGAAGUUGGGCAAAGCACUGCUAUGACUCCUGAAGCUACUACAAAGAUCAGCCUUGUAAAAUGCUACUUAGCUGGGAAUCUGUUCCUCUGUUUCUUUUGCUGGAUAAUGUGAGAUGUCAAGGUGCUGCUCCUGGUCUCUUACGGAAUAAAACGGAAGAACGAA
RNA transcript from Varanus komodoensis (Komodo dragon), 5767 nucleotides. It is a transcript of the gene named ganglioside induced differentiation associated protein 2, with no coding region annotated. NCBI's taxonomy places the organism in Eukaryota, Metazoa, Chordata, Lepidosauria, Squamata, Varanidae. The record is from RefSeq and is a predicted model, not a curated record. The transcript has 14 exons.